GACGAACGCUGGCGGCGUGCUUAACACAUGCAAGUCGAACGGAAAGGCCCUGCUUUUGUGGGGUGCUCGAGUGGCGAACGGGUGAGUAACACGUGAGUAACCUGCCCUUGACUUUGGGAUAACUUCAGGAAACUGGGGAUAAUACCGGAUAGGAGCUCCUGCUGCAUGGUGGGGGUUGGAAAGUUUCGGCGGUUGGGGUUGGACUCGCGGCUUAUCAGCUUGUUGGGGGGGUAGUGGCUUACAAAGGCUUUGAAGGGUAGCCGGCCUGAGAGGGUGACCGGCCACAGUGGGACUGAGAUACGGCCCAGACUCCGACGGGAGGCAGCAGUGGGGAAUAUGGCACAAUGGGCGGAAGCCUGAUGCAGCAACGCCGCGUGCGGGAUGACGGCCUUUGGGGUGUAAACAGCUUUCGCGUGUGACGACGCGUGUGUGAGGGUAAUGGGUAAAGAAGCACCGGCUAAUUCCUU
Molecule: ribosomal RNA, 467 nt
Filed under: uncultured bacterium
Lineage: Bacteria
Description: partial 16S ribosomal RNA
Rfam family: Bacterial small subunit ribosomal RNA
Source: RNAcentral